Small nuclear RNA from Ictidomys tridecemlineatus (thirteen-lined ground squirrel), 104 nucleotides. Lineage: Eukaryota; Metazoa; Chordata; Mammalia; Rodentia; Sciuridae. The record is from Ensembl.
GUGCUCGCUUCCGCAGCACAUAUACUAAAAUUGGAAUGAUACAGAGAUUAGCAUGGCCCUUGCGCAAGGCUGACAUGCAAAUUCCUGAAGCGUUUCAUAUUAAA